Molecule: small nuclear RNA, 119 nt
Filed under: Crocodylus porosus (Australian saltwater crocodile)
Lineage: Eukaryota; Metazoa; Chordata; Crocodylia; Crocodylidae
Description: U2 spliceosomal RNA (ENSCPRG00005014067.1)
Rfam family: U2 spliceosomal RNA
About the family: U2 is a small nuclear RNA (snRNA) component of the spliceosome (involved in pre-mRNA splicing).
Source: RNAcentral
UGUCCUCCAUAGGAGGUCUAUAUUGAGCAGAUUCUUUUUGGUAUUGGGUGGUGGAACUGGAGCGUGCUCCAUCCACUCCAUGCAUUGACCUGGUAUUCCAGUGCUUCCAGGACCGGUGC